AACAGUGUGGUCUAGUGGAAAGAGCUCUGGCUUGGGAGCCAGAGGACCUGGGUUCUAAUCCCAGCUCUGCCA
Molecule: transfer RNA, 72 nt
Filed under: Ornithorhynchus anatinus (platypus)
Lineage: Eukaryota; Metazoa; Chordata; Mammalia; Monotremata; Ornithorhynchidae
Rfam family: tRNA
About the family: Transfer RNA (tRNA) molecules are approximately 80 nucleotides in length. Their secondary structure includes four short double-helical elements and three loops (D, anti-codon, and T loops).
Source: Rfam by way of RNAcentral